Molecule: ribosomal RNA, 497 nt
Filed under: uncultured bacterium
Lineage: Bacteria
Description: partial 16S ribosomal RNA
Rfam family: Bacterial small subunit ribosomal RNA
Source: RNAcentral
GACGAACGCUGGCGGCGUGCCUAAUACAUGCAAGUAGAACGCUGAAGAGAGGAGCUUGCUCUUCUUGGAUGAGUUGCGGACGGGUGAGUAACGCGUAGGUAACCUGCCUUGUAGCGGGGGAUAACUAUUGGAAACGAUAGCUAAUACCGCAUAACAAUGGAUGACACAUGUCAUUUAUUUGAAAGGGGCAAUUGCUCCACUACAAGAUGGACCUGCGUUGUAUUAGCUAGUAGGUGAGGUAAUGGCUCACCUAGGCGACGAUACAUAGCCGACCUGAGAGGGUGAUCGGCCACACUGGGACUGAGACACGGCCCAGACUCCUACGGGAGGCAGCAGUAGGGAAUCUUCGGCAAUGGGGGCAACCCUGACCGAGCAACGCCGCGUGAGUGAAGAAGGUUUUCGGAUCGUAAAGCUCUGUUGUAAGUCAAGAACGGGUGUGAGAGUGGAAAGUUCACACUGUGACGGUAGCUUACCAGAAAGGGACGGCUAACUACGUG